GACCGCGUAGCUCAGUUGGAAGAGCAUUGGGCUAGUAUUCCAAAGGUCGUAGGUUCUAAUCCCACCGUGGCCG
Molecule: transfer RNA, 73 nt
Filed under: Paramuricea clavata
Lineage: Eukaryota; Metazoa; Cnidaria; Anthozoa; Malacalcyonacea; Plexauridae
Rfam family: tRNA
About the family: Transfer RNA (tRNA) molecules are approximately 80 nucleotides in length. Their secondary structure includes four short double-helical elements and three loops (D, anti-codon, and T loops). Further hydrogen bonds mediate the characteristic L-shaped molecular structure. tRNAs have two regions of fundamental functional importance: the anti-codon, which is responsible for specific mRNA codon recognition, and the 3' end, to which the tRNAs corresponding amino acid is attached (by aminoacyl-tRNA synthetases). tRNAs cope with the degeneracy of the genetic code in two manners: having more than one tRNA (with a specific anti-codon) for a particular amino acid; and 'wobble' base-pairing, i.e. permitting non-standard base-pairing at the 3rd anti-codon position.
Source: Rfam by way of RNAcentral